GUAGCUCAUUGAAUGAUCGCUGGUUUUUCCAGAGGAAAGUCCGGGCAGUAUAGGACGCGGCAGUUGUUAACAACAACCGGGGGUAACCCUAGGGAAAGUGCCACAGAAACGAUACCGCUCUAGAUUUUCUAGAGUAAGGGUGAAAGGAGUGAGGUAAGAGCUCACAGUCAUUCGCGGUGACGCGACGUGAGAGGUAAACCCUGCUGACUGCAAGGAGAGUUUUCCAAUAUUAGGUUGGUAGUCCGCCAAAGCUCGAUAACCGCUUGAUCUUUAAAGCAAUUUAAAGGCUAGAUAGAUGAUCAUUCUUGACAGAACCCGGCUUAUAGAUGAGCUUUAAAU
This 339-nucleotide RNase P RNA is filed under the name bacterium. RNAcentral's name for it is "RNase P RNA component class A". It matches the Rfam family "Bacterial RNase P class A". Rfam says of the family: Ribonuclease P (RNase P) is a ubiquitous endoribonuclease, found in archaea, bacteria and eukarya as well as chloroplasts and mitochondria. The record is from RNAcentral.